UACAGAGGGUGCGAGCGUUAAUCGGAAUUACUGGGCGUAAAGCGUGCGUAGACGGUUAUUUAAGUCGGGUGUGAAAGCCCCGGGCUCAACCUGGGAAUUGCAUUCGAGACUGAAUAGCUAGGGUACGGUAGAGGGAAGUGGAAUUUCCGGUGUAGCGGUGAAAUGCGUAGAUAUCGGAAGGAACAUCAGUGGCGAAAGCGGCUUACUGGGUCUUUUCUGACGCUGAUGCACGAAAGCUAGGGGAGCAAACGGG
RNAcentral lists this ribosomal RNA (253 nucleotides) under uncultured bacterium. Its description in RNAcentral is "partial 16S ribosomal RNA". It matches the Rfam family "Bacterial small subunit ribosomal RNA", at positions 524 to 776 of the family's 1533-position model. The record is from RNAcentral.